This 253-nucleotide ribosomal RNA is filed under the name uncultured bacterium. Its description in RNAcentral is "partial 16S ribosomal RNA". It matches the Rfam family "Bacterial small subunit ribosomal RNA", at positions 524 to 776 of the family's 1533-position model. The record is from RNAcentral.
UACGGAGGGUGCGAGCGUUAAUCGGAAUAACUGGGCGUAAAGGGUACGCAGGCGGGCUUUUAAGUGAGAUGUGAAAUCCCCGGGCUUAACCUGGUAAGAGCCUUUCAGACUGGAAGUCUAGAGUACUUUAGGGAGGGGUAGAAUUCCACGUGUAGCGGUGAAAUGCGUAGAGAUGUGGAGGAAUACCGAAGGCGAAGGCAGCCCCUUGGGAAUGUACUGACGCUCAUGUGCGAAAGCGUGGGGAGCAAACGGG